AGAAAACCUGCCUUCAGGUUCACGUUUGGGGCAUGAAGAAGAGGAAGGGAAAUACUUCAACUUAGCAGAUGAAAAGGAAAAUGACAGAAGAGCUGAAGAUUUCUGUGUGAGAAAAGAUAUUUAUUUCUCCUCUGACUGCUAGAGAAGGGAAGAGCAGGGAGAAUCAUAACAUGUGUGUGGGUGUAGAUAUGGAUCCUAUAUUAUGUUGUUACGUAAAUCUGUUUGUAAUCUUUGAGACUGUUUCAGGAAUAAGAUCCAUGAGAUAAUGCUAGAAGCAAACAGUUUUAUGAUUUUUUUUAAACAACAAAAGACAGGAACUUAAUUUUAACUUGGCUUGACCAAAAUUCUAGGACAGGCAAUUGACUAGAGAAGCACUGAAGCCUGAGCAAAAAUUGUGGUGAUUUCUAAGAGCCAACAUGGAUUCACCAACAAUGAACACAAUUCCUUUUUUAAAAAUUGUAUUAUCACAUCAAGAGAUCAAGAAGACAUAAAUAAAGUCAAUCUGAAUUUUAGUAAAGCUUUGGGCAGAAUUUUUUUUUUUGAAAAUUUGUUCCCUCCAAAACUCAUGUUGAAAUUUAAUUCCCAGUAUGGCAGUAUUGAGAAGUGGGGCCUUUAAGAGGUGAUUGGGCCAUGAGAGCUUUGCCCUCAUGAAUGGAUUAAUCUAUUCAUGGAUUCAUGGGUUCAUGGAUUAAUGGAUCAUCAUGGAAGUGGGGCUGGUGGCUUUAUAAGAGGAGAAAAAUAAUCUGGAACUAGCAUGCUCAGCCCCUUAACCAUGUGAUGCCCUGCACCACCUCAGAGCUCUGCAGAGAGUCCUCACCAGCGAUCACCUGAGGUCAGGAGUUUGAGACCAGCCUGACCAACAUGGUGUAACCCUGUCUCUACUAAAUACAGAAAAUUAGCUGGGCAUGGUGGCACAUACCUGUUAUCCCAGCUACUUGGGAGGCUGAGGCAGGAGAAUCGCUUGAACCCGAAAGGUGGAGAUUGCAGUGAGCCAAGAUUGCACCAUUGCACUCCAGCCUGGACAACAAAAGCGAAAACUCCGUCUCAAAAACAAGAAAAAAAAUAGAGAGAGAGUCCUCACCAGCAAGAAGGCUCUCAACAGAUCCAACCCCUCAACCUUGGACUUCUUUGCCUUCAUAACUGGCUCAUAUCAACUGUGAACUCCCCAGUGAAGUCCUUCCUGACCUCCACUUGGAGACUCUCAACUCUCGGCUGCACCAUUCUC
This 1225-nucleotide long non-coding RNA is filed under the name Homo sapiens (human). RNAcentral describes it as "HSALNT0330469". The record is from RNAcentral. Lineage: Eukaryota; Metazoa; Chordata; Mammalia; Primates; Hominidae.